This 529-nucleotide ribosomal RNA is filed under the name Streptococcus sp. W64. RNAcentral describes it as "bacterial SSU rRNA". It matches the Rfam family "Bacterial small subunit ribosomal RNA", at positions 8 to 524 of the family's 1533-position model. The record is from RNAcentral. Lineage: Bacteria; Bacillati; Bacillota; Bacilli; Lactobacillales; Streptococcaceae.
AGAGUUUGAUCCUGGCUCAGGACGAACGCUGGCGGCGUGCCUAAUACAUGCAAGUAGAACGCUGAAGACUUUAGCUUGCUAGAGUUGGAAGAGUUGCGAACGGGUGAGUAACGCGUAGGUAACCUGCCUACUAGCGGGGGAUAACUAUUGGAAACGAUAGCUAAUACCGCAUAACAGUGUUUAACACAUGUUAGAUGCUUGAAAGAUGCAAUUGCAUCACUAGUAGAUGGACCUGCGUCGUAUUAGCUAGUUGGUGGGGUAACGGCCUACCAAGGCGACGAUACAUAGCCGACCUGAGAGGGUGAUCGGCCACACUGGGACUGAGACACGGCCCAGACUCCUACGGGAGGCAGCAGUAGGGAAUCUUCGGCAAUGGGGGCAACCUGACCGAGCAACGCCGCGUGAGUUAAGAAGUUUUCGGAGCGUAAACUCUUUUGUAAUAUAAGAACGUUCGUUAUAUGUGGAAAGUCACACAUGUACGUUAACUUACCAUAAAGGCACGCCUAACAUCGUCCACACCCGUCCUAAU